RNAcentral lists this ribosomal RNA (420 nucleotides) under uncultured bacterium. RNAcentral describes it as "partial 16S ribosomal RNA". It matches the Rfam family "Bacterial small subunit ribosomal RNA", at positions 361 to 773 of the family's 1533-position model. The record is from RNAcentral.
AUAUUGUACAAUGGGGGCAACCCUGAUCCAGCCAUGCCGCGUGUGUGAAGAAGGUCUUCGGUUUGUACAGCACUUUAAUUUGGGAGGAAGGGCUUUAGGUUAAUACCCUGAAGUUUUGAUGUUACCAACAGAAUAAGCACCGCCUAAUCCGAUCCCGCCAGCCGCGGUAAUACAGAGGGUGCAGGCGUUAAUCGGAAUUACUGGGCAUAAAGCGCGCGUAGGUGGUUCAGUAAGAUGGGUGUGAAAUACCCGAGCUUAACCUGGGAACUGCUUUAAUAACUGCUGAGCUAGAGUACGGUAGAGGGUAGUGGAAUUUCCUGUGUAGCGGUGAAAUGCGUAGAUAUAGGAAGGAACACCAGUGGCGAAGGCGACUACCUGGACUAAUACUGACACUGAGGUGCGAAAGCGUGGGGAGCAAAC